Molecule: transfer RNA, 95 nt
Filed under: Streptomyces griseocarneus
Lineage: Bacteria; Bacillati; Actinomycetota; Actinomycetes; Kitasatosporales; Streptomycetaceae
Description: tRNA-Glu
Source: RNAcentral
UCGCCGCCGGCCCGGGCACCCCCGGCCCCGACGUUCUCGACGUCGGAUGCGGCACCGGGAUUGCCGCCCGGCAGUUCCAGGCGGCCGGCUGCAGG